GGGGUUGUGGCUCAGUGGUAGAGCGCUUGCCUAGGAUAUAAGGCACUGGGUUCAAUCCUCAGCACCA
This 67-nucleotide transfer RNA is filed under the name Urocitellus parryii (Arctic ground squirrel). Its description in RNAcentral is "Spermophilus parryii (Arctic ground squirrel) tRNA". It matches the Rfam family "tRNA". From Rfam's summary of the family: Transfer RNA (tRNA) molecules are approximately 80 nucleotides in length. Their secondary structure includes four short double-helical elements and three loops (D, anti-codon, and T loops). Lineage: Eukaryota; Metazoa; Chordata; Mammalia; Rodentia; Sciuridae. The record is from Rfam by way of RNAcentral. RNAcentral also lists the same sequence under 1 other name.